RNAcentral lists this unclassified non-coding RNA (261 nucleotides) under Dehalococcoides mccartyi CBDB1. Its description in RNAcentral is "sRNA". It matches the Rfam family "Bacterial RNase P class A", at positions 43 to 314 of the family's 367-position model. Rfam says of the family: Ribonuclease P (RNase P) is a ubiquitous endoribonuclease, found in archaea, bacteria and eukarya as well as chloroplasts and mitochondria. Its best characterised activity is the generation of mature 5'-ends of tRNAs by cleaving the 5'-leader elements of precursor-tRNAs. Cellular RNase Ps are ribonucleoproteins. Lineage: Bacteria; Bacillati; Chloroflexota; Dehalococcoidia; Dehalococcoidales; Dehalococcoidaceae. The record is from RNAcentral.
GAGGAAAGUCCGAGCUCCUCCAGACAGGAUGCUGGGUAACACCCAGGGGGGGCGACCCUACGGAAAGUGCAACAGAAACAUACCGCCUGUGAAAAUAGGUAAGGGCGAAAUGGUGAGGUAAGAGCUCACCGGCAGUCCGGGUGACCGGCUGGCCGGGUAAACCCCGUCCGGAGCAAGGCCAAAUAGGGGAACGCAAGGACGUCUGGCCUGUUCCCGGGUUGGCCGCAUGAACCAGACGGUAACGUCUGGUCUAGAUAGAUG